RNAcentral lists this ribosomal RNA (419 nucleotides) under uncultured bacterium. Its description in RNAcentral is "bacterial SSU rRNA". It matches the Rfam family "Bacterial small subunit ribosomal RNA", at positions 116 to 518 of the family's 1533-position model. The record is from RNAcentral.
CGUGGGUAACCUGCCCAUAAGAGGGGGAUAACAUCCGGAAACGGGUGCUAAUACCGCAUAGUUUCUUGAUCGCAUGAUCGGGAAAGGAAAGACGGCCUUUGUGCUGUCGCUUAUGGAUGGACCCGCGGCGUAUUAGUUAGUUGGUGAGGUAACGGCUCACCAAGACGAUGAUACGUAGCCGACCUGAGAGGGUGAUCGGCCACAUUGGGACUGAGACACGGCCCAAACUCCUACGGGAGGCAGCAGUAGGGAAUCUUCCGCAAUGGACGAAAGUCUGACGGAGCAACGCCGCGUGAGUGAAGAAAAGGUUUUCGGAUCGUAAAACUCUGUUGUCAGAGAAGAACAAGUUGGAGAGUAACUGCUCCAGCCUUGACGGUAUCUGACCAGAAAGCCACGGCUAACUACGUGCCAGCCGCGGC